AAACAAAGCUCCUUAGAUGUCAGGAAAUUAACCUGGGAAAUCGGAGCCAAGAGAGAUUAAAGGCAUUGCAGGCCGAGUUCAAAAACCUCUAUGGCGUUACAUCAAAAGCUGUUUUCUGGGCACCCCAGGCUCGGCUCUGCCAAACCGUACAUCCCGAAAAACCUGGCCACAGGGCUGGCACGCCUGUGUGGUGUGCCUUUUCCCUGCCACAGACUGAAGCCUCACUCAGAUCUACAGCUUUUGACUCUUCCUGUCAUAGGAGUCUAAGCCCUGCCUGCCGUAGGCAAGUCUGCCCUGAGAAGAGCAGCUUGCUGCCCUGGAUUCCUUAUAAAGGAGGAAGAUCGCACACCUAACCUCAGAGGGGGUCCAAUGAGUGGCCCCAGGGAAAGGAAGAAAGUCCUUAAAAGGAGGAAGAGACCUGCUAGCUUCAGCUGCACUCAUACACACACAAAAAAAAAGAGAAAGAAAGGAAGAAAGGAAGAGAAAGAAAGAAAGAAAGGAAGAGAAAGAAAGACAGAAAGAAAGAAAGAAAGAAAGAAAGAAAGAAAGAAAGAAAGAAGGAAAGAAG
Molecule: long non-coding RNA, 568 nt
Organism: Homo sapiens (human)
Lineage: Eukaryota; Metazoa; Chordata; Mammalia; Primates; Hominidae
Source: Ensembl